GACGAACGCUGGCGGCGUGCUUAACACAUGCAAGUCGAACGGAAAGGCCCUGCUUUUGUGGGGUGCUCGAGUGGCGAACGGGUGAGUAACACGUGAGUAACCUGCCCUUGACUUUGGGAUAACUUCAGGAAACUGGGGCUAAUACCGGAUAGGAGCUCCUGCUGCAUGGUGGGGGUUGGAACGUUUCGGCGGUUGGGGAUGGACUCGGGGGUUAUCAGCUUGUUGGUGGGGUAGUGGCUUACCAAGGCUUUGACGGGUAGCCGGCCUGGGAGGGUGGCCGGCCACAUUGGGACUGCGGUACGGCCCAGACUGGUACGGGAGGCAGCAGUGGGGAAUAUUGCACAAUGGGCGGAAGCCUGAUGCAGCAACGCCGCGUGCGGGAUGACGGCCUUCGGGUUGUAAACCGCUUUCGGCUGAGACGAAGCGUGAGUGACGGUAAUGGGUAAAGAAGCACCGGCUAACUACGUG
This 468-nucleotide ribosomal RNA is filed under the name uncultured bacterium. RNAcentral's name for it is "partial 16S ribosomal RNA". It matches the Rfam family "Bacterial small subunit ribosomal RNA", at positions 28 to 507 of the family's 1533-position model. The record is from RNAcentral.